UUGAACGCUGGCGGCAGGCCUAACACAUGCAAGUCGAGCGGCAGCGCAGGGCAACCUGGCGGCGAGCGGCGGACGGGUGAGUAACGCGUAGGAAUCUACCCAGUAGCGGGGGAUAGCCCGGGGAAACUCGGAUUAAUACCGCAUACGCCCUAAGGGGGAAAGCAGGGGAUCGUAAGACUUUGCACUAUUGGAAGAGCCUGCGUUGGAUUAGCUAGUUGGUAGGGUAAAGGCCUACCAAGGCGACGAUCCAUAACUGGUCUGAGAGGAUGAUCAGUCACACCGGAACUGAGACACGGUCCGGACUCCUACGGGAGGCAGCAGUGGGGAAUAUUGGACAAUGGGGGCAACCCUGAUCCAGCCAUGCCGCGUGUGUGAAGAAGGCCUUCGGGUUGUAAAGCACUUUAAGUGGGGAGAAAGGUUCGGCAGCUAAUACCUGCCGGAAGUGAUGUUACCCACAGAAUAAGCACCGGCUAACUCUGUGCCAGCCGCCGCGGUAA
RNAcentral lists this ribosomal RNA (497 nucleotides) under uncultured bacterium. RNAcentral's name for it is "partial 16S ribosomal RNA". It matches the Rfam family "Bacterial small subunit ribosomal RNA", at positions 29 to 523 of the family's 1533-position model. The record is from RNAcentral.